Gopherus flavomarginatus (Mexican gopher tortoise) is the source of this 274-nucleotide long non-coding RNA. RefSeq lists it as uncharacterized. NCBI's taxonomy places the organism in Eukaryota, Metazoa, Chordata, Testudines, Testudinidae. The transcript has 4 exons. The record is from RefSeq and is a predicted model, not a curated record.
GGGGGGGGGGGCUCUACGAGGUGUGUCACACACAGACACACACAUGGGGGGGCUGUACAGGGUGUGUCACACACAGACACACACAUGGUGGGGGCUGUUUGGGGAAUGUGACACACAAACACGGGGGGGGCUCUACAAGGUGUCACACACAGACACACACAUGGGGGGGCUGUACAGGGUGUGUGACACCCACACCCGGUGGGGGCUGUAUGGGGAUGUGACACACAGACACACACGGGGGUGGGGGCUGUACGAGGUGUCUCUCACACACACG